RNAcentral lists this ribosomal RNA (274 nucleotides) under uncultured bacterium. RNAcentral's name for it is "partial 16S ribosomal RNA". It matches the Rfam family "Bacterial small subunit ribosomal RNA", at positions 523 to 796 of the family's 1533-position model. The record is from RNAcentral.
AUACGAAGGUCCCGAGCGCUAUUCGGAAUCACUGGGCGUAAAGGGAGCGUAGGCGGCGCGGUAAGUCAGAUGUGAAAGCCCAAGGCUCAACCUUGGAACUGCAUUCGAUACUGCCGUGCUAGAGUCAUGGAGAGGUAACUGGAAUUCUUGGUGUAGCAGUGAAAUGCGUAGAUAUCAAGAGGAAGACCAAUGGCGAAAGCAGGUUACUGGACAUGUACUGACGCUGAGGCUCGAAGGCUAGGGUAGCGAAAGGGAUUAGAAACCCUAGUAGUCC